Molecule: long non-coding RNA, 13022 nt
Filed under: Gossypium barbadense (sea-island cotton)
Lineage: Eukaryota; Viridiplantae; Streptophyta; Magnoliopsida; Malvales; Malvaceae
Description: long non-coding RNA (GBAR_LNC013841)
Source: RNAcentral
CUGUUUCUUAUGUUGAAUCAAGAGCAGCUGAUGGAUAAUCAAAGGGGUGUAACUGAUUGCUCGAGAUGUGGGGAGAAGGCGUCUGCUCCAUGUUUUUGCUGUGCGGAGCACUGUGGGUUUUAUCUUCAUAAGGUAUGUGCCGAGGCACCUUUGGAGCUUAAUCAUCCUUUUCAUCUCAACCAUCCUCUUCUUAUGCAAAAUGCACCUUAUUCAUCUGGAAUGUACGUUUGCAAUUUUUGCAAUAAAUCUGGUCACAAGUCUGUUUAUCGCUGCUCUUCUUGUGAAUUGGACUUUCAUAUUAAAUGUGCAUUGUUUACAUUUAAUAUUGCUGAGAAUAAUUUGAAAGAACUUGAGCAUGUUGCCCUUCAACAUUCAUUGAUUCCCACUGAAAAUGGUGAUGAAAAACUUAAAGAUGUUUCUAAGUGCUUUGGGUGCCGGGAACCAUUAGCAAAUUGUACACACUUUUCUCCUUGCCGUGGGUUUAACUUACAUGAGAAAUGCACUGAGAUUCCUUUCAAAUUGAAUCAUCUGUGUCAUCGCAAGCAUCCUCUUGUCCUACAAUUUAAUAGCGAACGGCUCUCUUGCAAGAUAUGCUGCCAGGUAACAAUGCGAAGAGGAUUUGUUUAUGGAUGUUCUCCUUGUAAGUUUGUUGUUCACAUUGAAUGUGCAUCACAAUCACCAUUACAAGUUAUUAAGAGUACAAAUCAUGAACAUCCAUUCACCUUGUUGGUGAGUCAAGUUCCAUUCACAUGUGAUGGGUGUGGCACUGGAGGAAAUCAUGUUGCCUAUAGAUGUGGUACAUGCAACAUUAUAAUCCAUAAAAAUUGCAUUUCAUUGCCUCGCAUUAUCAAAAGUAAGUGGCAUGACCAUCGCCUUCUUCACACAUAUUUCCAUUACAUAGAAGAUUUUAGGGUUUUGAAUUGCCUAAUAUGCCAUGAUGAAGUCAACACAGAGCAUGGUAGUUACUAUUGUUCAAAGUGCAACGGUAUAUUCCAUGUGAAGUGUGUAAUGAAGGAUAAAGAUUCAUAUGAAAUAGUAGAAAAUGAAGAUGAGAUUGAGAUGCCCAUUGAAAGUUCCAUCAUUGUUAUUGAGAGCAACGAUGCUGGAGAAGCUACAAAAAUAAAUCAUUUCAAGCAUAUGCAUAAUCUAAUGUUAGGUCCCUUUGUUGGAGGAUAUGAAAAUAGUUGCGACGGGUGUAUGUUGCCAAUCUCGGAUCCGUUUUACUACUGUUCAGAAUGUGCUUUUUUUCUUCAUAAAGCGUGUGCCGAGUUACCUAAGAUGAAGAAUGUUUGGUAUCAUGAUUGCAAAGAGCCUCUAGCCCUUAUUUCUGACAAAGCUUUUGAGUGUCGACGAUGUUGGGGCAUAUCUAAUGCCUUUGCCUAUGAAUGUUGUGGAUGUGAGGAAAAAAUAUGUCUCCGAUGUGUGAUUGCUCUUACUCCUGGUGCUCGAACAUGUUUGAAACAUGAACACCCCCUCUUUUACUACCCAAAGCACAAUGGGAAAUGCAAUGCUUGUGGUACGACUACACAGGCGACAUUCUGUUGUAAGGAUUGCAAUUUUGUGCUACAUCUUGGUUGUUUUUCACUUCCAAUUACAGCGCGUCACAAAUGCGAUGAGCAUCUUCUUUCACUCACUGAUUAUGAUGAUAACAGUUAUUCAGAACAUCAUCACUGUGAUAUCUGUGAAGAAAGUCGAGAUCCAAAUCAUUGGUUUUAUAAUUGUUCAACAUGUGAUACUUCUGCUCAUGUUUAUUGUGUUCUUGGAGAAUAUCCAUUCCUCAAACUCAGGAGCUUUUAUGAAGAAAAGGAUCAUCCACACCCACUCACCAUUGUGAAGAAGAAGUAUUACUACCCAGAUUGUGAGAAAUGCGGUAAGCCUUGUGUAGAUGUGGCUCUUGAAUGCUCAAAGUCGGAGUGCAAAUAUAUUGUCCACUGGAAUUGUGUAACACCCGUUCAUCUAUGGAGUUUUUGGGCGUGGUACAGGAGGUAAUUCAGAUGUAAUCAUAUUUGAAAUCUGCCACUUCAUUUGCAGGAAAACUCAAGACUGGAAAACAGGGUUUGAUCUUUGCCUUGUUACUUGUGAUAUUAGUUAUUGUUGUAACUGUAAUUUGGUUUUCUCGACUUUUUAAGUUAUAAAUAAAUGUCAUGUAAAAAUCUGAGCUGAAACUUGUGAGGUUUGAUUGUUGAUUUUAGAAUUACUUGUGAGGUUUGCCGAAACGUUGCUAGAUGCUUCUCUUUGUUUUUAUAUAUAAGCUUUUUCUGAAAUUACUUAGCUCAAUGUAUUAGAUAAAGUAAGAAGGAGCUGUCUCCUUCAAAAAACCAAACAUGUCUUUUAAUGAUAUAUUUCGCAUACUAAAAUUUUAUUGCGCAAUUUAUGAAGCUUCAUCGUAACUUAACCCUAUUAUUGCCUAAGCAAAUAAUUUUGAAAACAAAAGAUUCAACAGCCUCCGUAACCUUUCAAUCUAGCUUUUGUAACAGAUAAACUGAAAUUACUACAGUCCCAAAUAAAAUUGAAGGAUUAGCUUUUUUUUUUCCCCAUAAAAACUAUAUAUUAAGACAAAAAGGAAAAUGCAAAGUCGAGAAAGGUCAUCAUCCACACAAUUUCACAACAGCUCAAACCAGUAAUCAAUGGAAGGAGUGAUUAUGGCCCAAACACUGCAACAGCUUAACCAAGAAUGACAAUAAACAUGGAUCCCAUCUGCCAGCUUCUACUUUGAGAUUCCAAUCCCCACACCUAAUGUUUUAGCUAUUUUCCCAUCUCUUUUUUACUCUCUUAUAUCACAACCUUGUAUCUAAUUUCCUUACUGUCUUGUCUGGGAUGGUGUUGGAGUUUUAGAGAAGUUGAGAGAACAAAAUACAGAGAAAACAAAGAACAAUACUUAUCAGAAUUUAUUUUUUUUUGACUGCUAUCAAAUUUUCUCAUAUGCUUUUACUAGAGUUUUGAAAAUCUAGAAAUAGAUAAGAGAAUCGAGUUUUACUAGAUGUUGAGGCCUAUUUUCACAUUUUUGAUUCAGCUGCUCCUAUGCUACUUGAAAAAAUGUUUCGUUUGUCUCUCACGAUACAACAACAAGAUCAUCGAAGCAGUAGCACCUCUAUAGUGAUCAACGAACAAACCUUGACUUCUUCUAUCACUGAAACAUUUAAAAAUUUGGAGUGAAAAAGAAAGAAUGUUGAGAGUGAAAUAAAUUUGUUGUGUGUCUAAAGAAUUCUAAAUAUACAAAUCUGCAUUAAAGGAGUCUUUUGUCCUUUUAAAGGAGAUUUAUACGUCAUGCAAGUAUGCACCCAACCCCAGUGAAUUUGGAUUCGCACCCUUGCUAUGCAUGAGGGAGAAUAUUAAUUUAGCGCUUUAAUAAUUACUAAAUUGGCUUACAUAUAUAUACAAGUUUCACACUUGAGUUCCAAUCAAUGUGAGACUAAUACUUUUCAUUUUCCUCAACAUAAUUUACAAAUAGUUUACAUUGAGCAUAAAUUUCGUAUCCAUCACUCAAACAUUUUGAGUAUAUAAUAUAUCGUUAUAAAGGUAUCAUGAAGUAGAAUAUAAAACCAUAAUUUUAUGAUUCAACUCUCCAUUUUUAUCAAUCGUUAAUAUGCCUCAAAGUUUUCAAAAAUUACAUUUUUUUCCAACACACUUCAGCGAAAGGAACCAGAGGACAGUCGAUACGAAGUUGUUACCCAAAUUAGAUGAACAGUAUGCCAACGGAUCGGAGAUUGCUGGAGAUGUUUUAUAUCGUAGGAUUCUACCGCAUGUGGCUGCAGUGCAAAGGAAUCAAUGGAGUUUUUGGGUAAUGGGGGUUACCAUGUUUAAACAUUUGACAGUCCUUUAAAAUAAGUCAAAUCCCUAUCCUAUUUGUAAAGGAUGUUAUGUUAAAAACAUUUUUCCAGGCUUCUUUAUUUACUGGCAUCAUCAUCACCUACCCCUAGGAGAUCAAUGUUGUUGCUUGUUUUCAGAUUGCAAAUCAAAGCUAACCUUUCAAACUUACAGAAUUCAAUGUUUUUUACAACAAAAAGAAAUUGGAUCAAAACUCUAUCCUUCCAUCCAAUUUCAAUACAAUUCGGUUUAUAUAAGUAAGCUUCAAUACAAGCUUAAUGUAACUUCACCAACUCCGAUUACAACUCGUUGAUUUUUAUCAACUAGUACUUGGAAACUGAAAUUGAAAAAGUAACAGCACUGUCCAUUAUUAUUGAAUCCAAACUAAUUAAUUCUGUCCAUUUUAUAAUGUAUGAUCUUCUCUGUUUGCACCGUCCAAUAACUUAAAUAAAAACUUUCGAAUAGUUCAAUGAACAUUUUAUAACUGUAGUUGAAUGAAUCCGUAACUUAUAGCGCCUGGAGUGUAUGGGCCGAAGAUUUCUGAACUUCGCCCCGUCAUCAAAAGACGCAUAUAAGGAUCACAUGGUAAGUAAAGAUUCUUCACGAGAAUGUCUUUGGAAUCUCCGGUGACCUUCAGUUUUAGAUUCUCGUCGACGAUGACCACCAUGUCUGAUUCUUUUGGAAACCCGGAAACAUAAUCCUUGAAUAUCACCUUUUUGUUGCUCACCACUGCAUUUCUCACUACCAUCCGCCAUUGUUGUUUUGCUUGGUGCUUUUGUUUUUUUCUCUAUGGUGAAGAUCACGUUCUGAAAUAAGCUGAACUUCUCUCUAUUAUCAGGUGGGUCUAAAAUUGGCCAAAUUGUGGUUUUGGUCCUUCUAUUAUUUUCAAUUUUGAAAAUUAAUCUAUGUAUUUUAAUUUGGUAUAAUUUAAUCUUCGUAAUCUUAUUAGUUAGUUAAAAUAGUUAACUAUAUACUAUUGGUCUCUGUACUUUCGUGCUGUUUGAACUUUAAAAUUUCAAUCCUAAUCAAAAUGGUAUUUACUAAAUUAUGAUAUUUUCUAAAGUUUAUAUGGCAAACAUAUUAUCAAAUGUGUAAUGUAAUGUAAUUUGUUAUUUGCACAAAAUAAAAAAAAAUCUUAUUAUUUUUAAUCGUUCUAGCAGAAUUUAACCUAACUAUUCUAAUUAAAAUGCAGAUUUGAUUUUUUCUUAAAAAUAUCCCUUGAAAAAAAUCAUGUUGAAGGAUGAAUUGGAAUAAAUAUUUUUUUAGAAAAAUCCUCACCAAUAUUUUAAUAAAAAUAUUACUAUUAGAUUAACUAGUGACAUUAUAAAUAUAGAUGACUAUAUUAUGAAAAAUUAAAAUAUGAAAAAUAAAUCUCAUAUUUGAUUAUAAGAUAGGGACUAAAAUCAAAAUUUUACCUUUUAAAUUUCCAUUUUAGUUUGAUUGCGUAUACCGUUUGUAUUGUGAGGCUGAAAACUUGAAAAGGAUAUUUAAAGUCCAAUCAAUUUCGACCGUACAAUCUUUUUUUUCAAGAAACUCGUUUAAAAUCAAUAUCCAAUGCGUACACGUAGCUAGAGGUGUCCGCUCGAAGCAUGAGAGGAUUCGGGUAAAAAUAUAGGACCGAAAUAUAGGUUUGGGUAAAAAAACGGAGUCCGUUUAGAAAAUGGGCCAGGCCUCGGGCACUACUUUUUUGGCCCGGGCCGAAUAUAAUAAAUAUAUAUUUUUAUUUUUUUAAUUUUAAAAUAUUUUUAAAAUAUUUUUAAAAUACUUUUUUUGUUUUUUAUUUUAAAAAUAAUUUUUUGGUGUUUUAUUAAAAAAAUAGGCCGGGCCGAGACCGGACUUAGGAAUUUUUACCCGAGCCAAGCCUGGACAAAAUUUCAGACCCAUAUUUCGGGCCAGGCCGGGCUGGGCUCGAGCCUAGGACACGGGCCAAAAUUUUGGCCCAGCCCAUGAGCACCUCCACACGUAACCAACCUAAUAUGAUAAUCGUUUGGGUAAAUUAUUAUCAUUUUUUGAUCAAUGGGAUAAUUACAAAUAAAUAAAUAUUAUAUAAAUAUUUAUAUUUAUGUAGAAAACAAUAGAUUUAAACAAAAUAAAUUAAAUAAAUAUUUAUAUCUAUUUAAAACAUUAAAUCUGGAAAAACAAUUAAGAGAAUCGAGUUUUACUAGAUCUUGAGGUCUGUUUUCACAGUUUCUUUAGGAUAAAUUCGGCCACUCAUAUGCUACUUGAAGAAACGUUGAUCGUAUGUCUCCUAAGAUACAACAACAAAAUGAUCGCGAUAGUAGUACCAAUGCAAUGAUCAAGAACAAACAUUGUCUUCUUCUAUUAUCGAAACGUUUGAAAAUUUGGAGGAAAAAAUUCGUUGUGUCUUUAAAAAAUUUUGCUGUAUUUUAAAGUUUUUAUAGGCAUUAAGUAUGGAGGAAUUUUAGAAAUUUCUAUAAAUAAAUAUAUAAAUUUGCAUUAAAGGAGCCUUUAGAUCAAUUUGAUUGGAAUCAAAUCAAAUCGAGAUAUUUAUCUUUAUAUAUAAUUGUUUCUAUUAUUGGUUAAAUUAUUUGACAGAGAAGAGCUUUUAGGAAUGAUUUUGAACCCAUUCUUAGUGCACAUUUAAAUUAAUAAUUUAGUUGUCAAAUAAAUUGGUGGUUCAUUUGUCAUUUAUGCUUUGUAAUGGUCUCUUCCACCUUCGUUUCGAUUAUAAACAAAUAACCCUUUGAUCCUUCCUUAAAACGAAGUUUAAAGGAAUGUAAAAUACAAAGUAGGAGUGAAUGUGAUAUAUAUAUAUAUUUUUUAUGUUGUUUCACCAGAAAAUGAAGAUGAAAAGUGUCUUGAUAUAUCUUUGAACUCCAUCACUAAUGUUCUAGAGAGGAAUGAUGCAGGAGAAGCCACAAUAAUAGAGCACUUCAAGCAUAAUCACUACUUAUGGUGAUAAAUGUUGUGAUGGGUGCAUGUUGCUAAUCUCGGCUUCAUUCUACUAUUGCUUUCAGUGUCAAUUCUUUCUUCAUAAAGCUUGUGCUGAACUACCAAAGAUGAAGCCUGUUUGGCAUCAUGGAUGCCAAUUAGAAACUUCAGACAACAUUUUCAAAUGUGAAAUUUGUGAUAGCCCGAAAUAGGGCCUAAUCGGAAUAGUGGUUUCGUAACCACAAAUUCAAAGUGAAAUAGUUUAAUUUUAUAAAUUUUUAUUAGUUACUGAUUGAUUGAAAUAUUGUGUGAAAAUAUGGAUAGGAAAUUUUAAUGCUUUAGUGCUUAAUUGAAUUUUUAGGACUAAAUUGAGAAAAAUGCAAAGUGUGUCUAAUUAGUGAGUAAAUGACUUAAUUGAAUUAUUGCAUGAAAUUGGAAGUGUUUAUGUGGCAAUUAGACCAUAGAUUAGUAUUAUGGACACAAAAGGGUAUUUCUAGAAAAAUAUCUAAGUAAUGGGUCAAGGGCAUUUUUGUCCAAAUUGGGUAAAAGACAAAAUAAAGAGAAAAUAAGUGUCCAUCUUCUUCAAAAAAAUCAGAAGCUUGCUGCCGAAAGUUUCAGGUUACCAUAGUUAAGGGUUUUGAUUUUCCUAAGCUCAAUUGUAAGUGAUUUCUUGCCUCGUUUUUAAUUAUUUUCGUAUUUUUAUGCUUAUUGAAGCUUGAAUUUCAUGUUUCUACCAUUUAAUUUAAAUGAAAUUAAAGUUUAAAAAUUGACCCAUUCAUGAUAUAAUUGUAAAUUGAUUAGUGAUGUUAGAUAAUGAAUGUUUGAAGUGUUAAUUACAAGUUUUACUAGAUGAAUUUCAAUGAAAAAUGUUGAAAAAGGGCUAAAUUGUGAAAGAUGGUAAAGUGUGCAUAAAGUUGUGAUUUUGUGAAAUUGAGGCCCGUUAUGAGCAUGAAAUAUGAUUUAGUGAAGUUUGAAAUUUAAGAAUUUAGAGAAUUUUUUUUACGAGCUUAGGGACAAAAGUGGAAUUUUUGAAAAGUUAUGGGGAAAAAUGUAAAUGUGUCAAAAUGUUGUGUAUGAAUUGUAUUUGAAUGGAAUAUUGAUAAAAUGUAUUAAAUUGUGUUAAUAUAGAUCAAGAAAGAAGAAAUAGUGCAAGUGAUCGGGGAAAAGAGAAAGUUAUCGACUAAAUUACAAAAAUAGUCGUUUUGCAUCCGAGGUAAGUUAUAUGUAAAUAAUAGUUAUAUUUGUAUAAAUUGUGAAUUAUAUUUGAUAUGUGAAUUAAUAUUGAAUGUGGAAGGAAAGUUGUUCAUGAAUUAUUCAAGUGAUAAAGUGUUGAAAAUAAAGUGUUAAGUGUAAAUUCCCGGUUGAACUUAGGAAUAGAAUUGGAUACAAGUGACAUGUCACUAGAGACUAGUGUUACAGUGUUACAGUGAGUCCCGGGUGCUGGGUGGUCUAGCAUGUGUUGCAGACACCUGUCAGCUUGUGUGAGCAGACCCGUGGACAUUUCCAGUGUUAUUGAUCAGUGGUAGCUUCGGCUACAUUUCAGUGGUAGCUUUGGCUACAUCCAGUGGUAGCUUCGGCUACAUAUCAGUGGUAGCUUCGGCUACAUAUCAGUGUGGCACUUAUGUGCUAAAUCUCUACGUAUCCGUGUAUAUUCCAAGUGUUCAACGGGAUUAAUAAUGAAUUAAAGUGAAUAUGAAAUGUUAAGUGUGAAAAUGUAUAUGCAAGUGAAUUGGUAAGAUUAUGUAUCUGUAAGUGAUUGAAAUUGCUAAGAAAUGUUUUGAUUAGUUAUAUGUUAAAAGUGUUAAUUAUUAAUUGAGUAAUUAUUGUUUACAUGUAACUUACUAAGCUAUUUAUAGCUUACACAUCUCUUUCUUUCCUUUGUUUUAUAGUGAUUUGAACUUGAUCGAAUAGUGGACCGUCGGAGCUCGUAUCACACUAUCAUAACCAUCUCGGUAUUAUGUGCUUUUCAAAAUGUUUAAACUAUGGCAUGUAUAGAGUCUUAAUCAUUUUGAGCAUGUCCAAAUGAUAUGGCUAAUGUUAGCUAUUGAAGUAGUUAUUAAAGAAUAUGUUUUGGAGUUAUGUAUGUUUAAAUGGUAACUAAUUCAAAGAAGCAGUUUCUUUGACAGCAGCAGUGACGAGAAUGUGAAAAAUCACCAUAAAUAGUAGAAAUGGAAUUAGAGGGUGAAUGAUAUAUAGAAUUAAAGCUUAUCAAGUCUAUUUUUACAUGAAAGAAACGGUGUAGGAAAAGGAAUUUUAUAUUUUGAGAUAUUUAAAUUUUAGUGAGACAGGGUCAGAAUGGUUUUUGAAGUCCCCUGUUCUAACUUUAGAAAAUCAUUAUAAAUUGUACAGAAAUAAUUAUAGGUGAUAAUUUAUAUGUUUAGAUUCCUUAGUGAGUCUAUUUUCAAAAUAAAUUAAUGGUAACCUUAUAUGAAUUCUGUACAAUUAGAUAUUUGAUUUUUAGCGCCAAGAGGUCAGAUCUGUCGAGCUGUGAAACAGGGGAUACUUUAAUGAAUAAACUGUACUAAUGUGCUAAGUCAAAAAUUCUGAAAAUUUUAUGGUAAGUAGGAAUAUGAGUAUAGUUUCACGGAAAAUUUACGGAUUUAAAUUUUGAGUUUCGUAACUCAAGUUAUAAUUAAAUUAGUGACAGUUGUGCAGGUGGACAAUGUUGUUAUGAACAGUGAAUUUAAUUUUAAAAGCAAAUUUUUAUGCUCCGAAUCGGUAAGUUAAAUUGGAUGACAUCUCGUACUCGAUUCCGGAGACGGUCUCGGGUAAGGGGUGUUACAAAAUUUGUUGUUUCCUUUCUAAUGGCUUUGCCUACAAAUGUCCUGAUGCUCUAACAUGUCCAGGACAUGAACAUCCCCUUCUUUUCUAUAAUGAUUUUUACGGGCAGUGUUGUGCUUGUGGUGAGGAUAUAAAAGUGGCAUUCAACUGCAAGGAUUGCAAUUAUUCUGUAGAUCCUUACUGUAUGCUACUACUACCUAGAGCCAGACACAAAUGUUAUGAGCAUCUUCUUGCACUCAGUUAUCACGAGAUAAAUGAUUAUUCAGAACAUCAUUACUGUAACAUUUGUGAGCGAAAAAGAGAUCCGAAGAGCUGGUUUUAUCAUUGCACAACUUGCGACACAGCAGCAAAGAAGGGGAUCAUCCGCACCCUCUCACAUUUGUGAAGAAGAUAAAUUACUACCCUGAAUCAGACCUGUCCAUGGGCCAAGCUGGGCCCGGGAAAAAAAUUUCGGCCCGACUCCUAGACCUGGGCCCAUCUCGGCCCGGCCCGAAAUAUGGGCUUAAAAUUUUGCCCAAGCCAGGCCCGGGAAAAAAUCAUAAGCCCGAGAGCGGGCCGGCCCAUUUUUUUAAUAAACACAAAAAAAAUUUUAAAAAUAAAAAUAAAAAUAUUUUAAAAGUAUUUUAAAAUUAAAAAAUAAAAAUAAAAAAUAUAUAUUUAUUAUAUUCGGGCCGGGCUGGGCCGAGGCCAAAAAAGUUGUGCCCGAGGCUCAGCCCGUUUUUUAAAUGGGCCUCAUUUUUUUGCCCAAGCCCAUAUUUCAGGCCUAUAUUUUUACCUGAACCCUCCCAAAUUUUGGGUGGGCCAUCGGGCCGGGCCGGGCCGCCCGGCCCAUGGACAGGUCUUCCCUGAAUGCACUAAAUGUGGAGAACUCUGUGAAGAGCUCGCUCUUGAAUGUGCAGAACUAGAGUGCAACUAUCUCAUUCACUUAUGAAACCAUAUGGCUCUGAAUAUGGAUGCUUGAUAGGUAGAGACUUGUAAUUGACAUUUUAGUUUAGUUGUAAGUUGAAAUAAUGUAAUUUAGUCAAUAGAUUGGGUUGAAACUUGUGUGGUUUGGAUUGCUUAUGGAUUGUUUUGGUCCCCUAAAAAUAAUAAAAAAUUGAUUUAAUCAUUUUAAAAUUAUAAUGAUAUAGACUAUUCAAAUAGUGAAAUUACAUUUUUACUAUCAUAAAAAAUUUAAUUUAAUUUUUGAUCCUCUAAAAAAAAUUCUGCCUUAGCCCUUGGUUCUUUGUGAACACUUCGUUCCUCAAACUCGGGAGUAUCAUUGAAGCACAUCAAAUCUAAACUAGGGUUCCUAUUUGAAGUUGAAAUGUAAGGGAAGGGAAGCAUGUUUUAAGUUGGAAAAGAAAUUCAAAUCUUAGAAUCGGCAAACAUGAAAAUGUUAUUUACAAAUAUUGGGCCGUGGGUUAUAGGAGCCCACUUGUUUGUCUGCGCCCUGCCCUGCUCUUUAUGUUUUGGGGGCCGCAAACUAUCAGCGCCUCUUCCUGAAUCAUUGUCUGUCUUCACUUGUAUUAUUGUUUUCCCAUUGACACUUUGCUCCCAAAAUCAAGCUUUUCCUUUAUUUGUAUUGCUUGGGGAAGCAAAAGUGGUGGGGUCUAACAAUUAUGGCCACCAGCAUCCCCUGCUUCUUAUCUUGAAUGAAGAUCAGCUGUAAAAAUGGUGGGGUCUAACAAUUGAUCACCCUUUUAAUUAUAAACUUUGCUCAUAGUAAUUAUCGGAUAUUACUCCCAAAAAAUAUUUAAUCAAACUAUUAAAAUAUAUAUAUUGAUAUUUUAAAAAAAAUUAAUUUUCAAUGAAAAGAAAUUAAGAAAAAAGAAUAUACUUUUUGAUAGGGUGACACCAAGUCAAGUGCUCGAAGGCUCGAACCAACCUAUCCAUAAAGCAAUUUUUUCUUUUUGUAACCUGAUUUGGACGCUUUCAUUUUGUAUUUUUUAUUAUUUAAUUUUCAUUUAGACUCAAUUAUUAUGUUGCUAUAAACAUGCAUGUUUGCUAUAAACUCAAUUAUUAAACAUGUUACAGUUUGAUAAUUAUUUUAAUUUUUUUUAAAUAUAAUUUCUAUUAAUAAUAUUAAAUCUCCUUGUAAGGUUUUAAAUUAAAUUUUAAAUAUAAUUUUCUUUCUAUUAAUAAUAUUAAACAUGAUCAAAACAACAAAGGACUUAUAAAUAAAUCUCUUAAAUAUCAUACCAACCCACCAUGAAAAGCAAGUGUAACCUUGAAUAAGAGCAUUGACUAGCUAAUUGAGUUGACCUCUGUCUGCUAUAAGCGACCCUCUGCCACUGCCUCUAAGUAUCAAAUGCUCUCCCUCUUCCUCAAUCUUUAUCUUUCUUCACUUAGUAAUCUUGUUUUCCCUUUCAAUCUUUUCUCCCAAAAUCAAGCUUUUUCCUUUAUUUAUAUUGCUUGGGGAAGGAGAAAUGGAGGAGUCUAACAAUUAUGGCCACCAACAUCCCCUGCUUCUUAUCUUGAAUCAGGACCAGAUGAUCCACAAUCAAAGUGGUGCAACUCAUUGCUCCAGGUGCGGGGAGGAGGUGUCUGCUCCAUGUUUUUGCUGUGUGGAGCACUGUGGGUUUUAUCUUCACAAGGUAUGUGCCGACGCACCUUUGGAGCUUAAUCAUCCUUUUCAUCCUCAUCAUCCUCUUGUUCUUCAGCAAAAGCCACCAUCUUUUCGCACAUGGUGUUUUUGCCAUUUCUGUGAUAAAACAUGUACGAAAUUCAUUUAUCACUGCUCUUGCGAAUUGAACUUUCAUAUUAAAUGUGCUUUGUUUACAUUUAAUAUUGCUGAGAAUAAUUUGAAAGAGCUUGACCAUGUUGCCCUUCAAGAUGAAGAACUUGAAGAUUAUAGUCAGUGCUUUGGGUGUCGGGAACCAUUAGCAAAGUAUACACACUUUUCUCCUGACUGUGGGUUUAAUUUACAUGACAAAUGCGCCGAGCUUCCUUUCAAACUGAAUCUUGAGUGCCAUCGCGAACAUCCUCUUGUUCUACAAUUUUAUAGCAAACCGCUCUCUUGCAAGAUAUGCUGCGGGAUAGGAUGGCAAAGAGGAUUUGUUUAUGGUUGUUCUCCUUGUAACUUUGUUGUUCACAUUGAAUGUGCAUCACAAUCACCAUUACAAGUUAUUAAGAGUACAAAUCAUGAACAUCCAUUUACCUUGUUUAACGGGCACCAACAUCCCCUGUUUCUGAUGUUGAAUCAAGAGCAGCUGAUGGAUAAUCAAAGGGGUGUAACUGAUUGCUGGAGGUGUGGGGAGAAGGUGUCUGCUCCAUGUUUUUGCUGUGCGGAGCACUGUGGGUUUUAUCUUCAUAAGGUAUGUGCCAAGGCACCUUUGGAGCUUAAUCACCCUUUUCAUCUCAACCAUCCUCUUCUUAUGGAAAAUGCACCUUAUUCAUCUGGAAUGUACAUUUGCAAUUUUUGCAAUAAAUCUGGUCACAAGUCUGUUUAUCGCUGCUCUUCUUGUGAAUUGGACUUUCAUAUUAAAUGUGCUUUGUUUACAUUUAAUAUUGCUGAGAAUAAUUUGAAAGAGCUUCAGCAUGUUGCCCUUCAACAUCCAUUG